Paramormyrops kingsleyae is the source of this 315-nucleotide long non-coding RNA. RefSeq lists it as uncharacterized. Lineage: Eukaryota; Metazoa; Chordata; Actinopteri; Osteoglossiformes; Mormyridae. The record is from RefSeq and is a predicted model, not a curated record.
UAAGGCGGUUUGCCGCUUCUUAUCCAUUUGCGCUGUAAAUCUAUUUGUCGGGCCCGAAGGAUGUAAUUUCGGAUGAUGAAAAUUAAUAUACCUACGUUUCGAAAGUAAAUUGUCAUUUUUAAGGAUGGAGGAGAAGGUGAAGCUGCUGAGGGGAGGAGCCCACUGGGAAUUAUUGCCAGGUUAACUGGGUUGAAGGAAAAGCUCCAGCAGAAGUAACCCCUUCGGAGGACAGUGCACAGUGUUUCAGGCUAUCCAUUUUAAAAAAAGGAGGAUGAUGAAGGUGGAGUAGGAAGAAGAAGGAGGAAGACUAAGGAG